GAUGAUGUACCUAUUGCCGAGCUCGAUGUACAGGGUGGCCGUAGACGUGGACGUGGCCGUGGCCGUGGCCGAGGACGUGGUCGAGGACGUCGAGGGAGAGGAAGAUCGAGAGACUGAUUGUAUUUUUUUUAUUUUGAGAAUGCACUUUGUAUAAUAUUAUAUAAUACAUGAUUUAGUUCAUAUUUGUAUAUUUGUAAGUGUUUUGUUUGAUAUUUUUAUCCAGUUGAUUGUAUUUUGUUAUUCCACUCGUGAUGUUGUGUUUCUCGUUUGAAUAUUUCUUAUCGUGAAAAAACUUGCCUCAAACUUGUUGAAAUAGGCGCUAGAAUUUGAGCUCAACCUGGUGCUAGUUGCACUAAAGACGGUGAAUGGUUCACCGUCUUUAGUGUAAACUCCAGAACCCCGAAAAAAUGGCUAAGUCCUGGACUGGGUUCUUUUACACAGAUAAGACGGUGAACUAUUCACCGUCUUUAAUAAGACGGUAAACUAUUAACCGUCUUAUCUGUGUUUUAGCCCAACCACAACUUGGCCAAUUUACUCUGAAGACGGUGAAUAGUUAACCGUCUAAUGAAGACGGUAACCCAUUCACCGUCUUAUCUGUGUUUUAGGCCCCCUCUCAAGGACUUGGCCAAAUUAGGCUGGACUUGGCCAAAUUAGGCUGGGUAGGGCGAUAAGACGGUAAAUUGUUUACCGUCUUUUAGAAGACGGUAAACAGUUAACCGUCUCCUUGUGCCGCGCGGGGAAUUGCUGAGAAGGUGGUAGGGUGCGCGGGGAAUUGCUGAAAAGGCGGCAUGCUUUUUAGGCCCCCUCUCAAGAACUUGGCCAAAUUAGGCUGGCUAGGGAGAUAAGACGGUAAAUUUUGUUUACCGUCUUUUAGAAGACGGUAAACAGUUAACCGUCUUAAAUAGGCAUCUUGUGCCACGCGGGGAAUUGCUGAGAAGGUGGUAGGGUGCGCGGGGAAUUGCUGAAAAGGCGGCAUGCUACGCCUAGAGAAGACGGUUAACGAUUUACCGUCUGAAUAAGACGGUUAACCAUUUACCGUCUUCAAGAGCUAUA
RNAcentral lists this long non-coding RNA (1053 nucleotides) under Ananas comosus (pineapple). Its description in RNAcentral is "long non-coding RNA (ACOM_LNC044449)". Lineage: Eukaryota; Viridiplantae; Streptophyta; Magnoliopsida; Poales; Bromeliaceae. The record is from RNAcentral.